Molecule: non-coding RNA, 98 nt
Organism: Trametes coccinea BRFM310
Lineage: Eukaryota; Fungi; Basidiomycota; Agaricomycetes; Polyporales; Polyporaceae
Source: the annotation of a GenBank genome assembly
GGCGAGAUGGCCGAGCGGUCUAAGGCGCCAGAAUCAGGCAACAUCGUGUUCCGUUCAUCUGGUCCGAAAGGGCGUGGGUUCGAAUCCCACUCUCGUCA